GCCGGGCAUGGUGGCGGGUGCCUGUAAUCCCAGCUACUCGGGAGGCUGAGGCAGGAGAAUCGCCUGAACCCAGGAGAUGGAGGUUGCAGUGAGCCAAGAUCAUGGCAUUGCACUCCAGCCUGGGUGACAGAGUGAGAUCUUGUUUCAA
Unclassified non-coding RNA from Papio anubis (olive baboon), 148 nucleotides. It matches the Rfam family "Metazoan signal recognition particle RNA". Rfam says of the family: The signal recognition particle (SRP) is a universally conserved ribonucleoprotein. It is involved in the co-translational targeting of proteins to membranes. The record is from Ensembl. Lineage: Eukaryota; Metazoa; Chordata; Mammalia; Primates; Cercopithecidae.